UACGUAGGGCGCAAGCGUUGUCCGGAAUUAUUGGGCGUAAAGAGCUCGUAGGCGGCCAGUUACGUCCGCUGUGAAAUCCCGGGGCUCAACCCCGGGCGUGCAGUGGAUACGGGCUGGCUGGAGGCAGGCAGGGGAGAACGGAAUUCCUGGUGUAGCGGUGAAAUGCGCAGAUAUCAGGAGGAUCACCGGUGGCGAAGGCGGUUCUCUGGGCCUGUUCUGACGCUGAGGAGCGAAAGCGUGGGGAGCGAGCAGG
Molecule: ribosomal RNA, 253 nt
Filed under: uncultured bacterium
Lineage: Bacteria
Description: partial 16S ribosomal RNA
Rfam family: Bacterial small subunit ribosomal RNA
Source: RNAcentral